UUAGCUUGAACUGUAUCUUCGGUGCUUGUUUAAAGAACUUAAGCCUUACUGCUGCUUUCUUUUCUCUCACCUAGACCAGUCAUUGUUUUUCAGAGCCACAAACCCUUGUCUCUAAGAACAGUCAUGGCAUCUCAGUUCGGUGGUAAAAUUCGAACGAUACAUCUAAAGCAAACAGUUUGCAAAGCAGAAAGACCAGUUUGUGGCCAACUGGUAUAUUUUAUACUGGAGGGAGUUAAAUAAUAAACGAGGUUAAAAAGAAGGUGACCACACUUCAACUGUUAACUUUCUGGUUCAGUGCUUAGUUGUGUUUGGCAACCAAUACUGCUAGAGAAAGAAGUCAGAGCGUACAAAGCUAGGAAUGAUGGAUACGGCAGCAAACUGGUCAGGGAUGGUCACAUCUGGUCCUCACCAAGCUCAUAGUCUGCUAAAGAAGUCAGACACGAAACAAGUGAUCACAAACACACGUAUGACACAACAGAAGAAAAGGAAGUUGCCAACAUGUUAAGACUGCGAAACAUACACUGACUGGAAAGAUUUUCAUCGAAUUUCUUGGGAAUAUUUGAUUUAUUGGUCUAUUAACCCAAACAGAAAAGAGAGUUUGCUCACAGACUUUUACUUGUUAAAGAAUCCACUCUAGGGCUUGGGUUGCUCAGUUGGUUAAGUGUCCAACUCUUGAUUUCAGCUCAGGUCAUGAUCCCACGGUUCGUGGGUUCAAGCCCUGCAUCAGGCUCUGUGCUGACAGUACGGAGC
Long non-coding RNA from Felis catus (domestic cat), 750 nucleotides. RefSeq lists it as uncharacterized. NCBI's taxonomy places the organism in Eukaryota, Metazoa, Chordata, Mammalia, Carnivora, Felidae. The transcript is spliced from 3 exons. The record is from RefSeq and is a predicted model, not a curated record.